Long non-coding RNA from Monopterus albus (swamp eel), 436 nucleotides. RefSeq lists it as uncharacterized. The record is from RefSeq and is a predicted model, not a curated record. The transcript has 4 exons. NCBI's taxonomy places the organism in Eukaryota, Metazoa, Chordata, Actinopteri, Synbranchiformes, Synbranchidae.
GCCGCACCUGGCUCUCCUUUCGAGGAUGAGCGUCAAAUGACUUCUGCUCCGGCGAGACACAUUGAGAGGACGGGAUGUUAGAACUAAGAUCUUGUUCCUGUAACCGCACCACACCUUGUCGUGGACUACUGUCAUACAGCGGAUGGAGUGGUGAGGCCGGCCUAGAUCCAGCAGGUGGUAGUUGGUGAGGUCCCACUGACCGUCUGCAUGGGAGAAACAGAGACUAAAGAACCAAGCUUGUCUUACCACAGACAGAGACUAUGCCACACACUCACCGAUGCCUCUGUGGAAGAUUGCUAAUGUCCCAUCAGCCAACGCUACCAGGACUCUCCCCUUAACAUGCCUGUAAAAGCACCCCCUAGUGGCUGUUGUCAUUCUCACCACCCGUUCUGAGCUCCCAGCCACAUGGUGGGGAGAGCGCUGCUCAUCCUCUGGA